UAAUAAUUUUUUUUGGAUAUUAAAGAUUUUUUUUUUAUUACUUGUUAUCAAACAUCUUGAACAUAGAAUGUAGAUUUUAGUUUUUGAUGUAUGUUGGGAAGUGAACAAAUUUUUUUGUCCUGUAUUUGUAUUUGUAGACCUCAAAGUAGAAUAUUCUAGAAAUAACAGGAUCUUAUUAAAUAUUUAUGAAAUGAAUGUGCUUAUACUUGUGGUAUUAAACCUUUAUUUCUGACCAUUUAUAUUUCCCUGAUGUUUCUUUCUAUGACUAUAUGGUAUAAUAUUGGGCUAUUGUGACUAAAUAGUAUAAUGAAUACAUUUAUUUGAAAAACGUGUUAUAUUAGGGUAUGAUAUUUGUUAACAGUUCUUCUGUAGUGUUUCUGUAGAAGGAGGUUCUUAUAAUUCAUUACAAUUAAAAUUAUAUUGUUUUCAUGAUUUCUUAUUGCCUGUCUUAGUUAAGCUAUGUAAUUAUAAUAAUGCAUUGACUAAGCAGUAUUCUGGGAUGGAAUCUUUAUAAUGUGGUUCACUGUAUUAAAACACAUAUUUAUAAACCAUGAAAAACCAGAGAUAGUCCCAUUAGAGUACUGCGUGCUUGUAUAGUUCUGGUAUUGCUGCUAAUACUUGUCUAGGUAUUUUUGAAGGUGGUCAAAACAUGCCUGUUAGGCAUAACUAUAAGAUAGCUGUUUUUGUCUUUAAUAUUUCUAGUGGUCCCUUUCUGUACUCUUUCUCUCCUUCCCUCCUUUAGGCAUCUACUUUUAUUUAGAAAACUAUCUGAUAAUCAGUCACUUACAUAUGCUGGCUGUUAAAGGAAUCAUUUGUCAGUAAACCGAUAAGAAAGGAAUGUUGGUUCUGGAUGCUUGAAUCUUUGAAUGUAGUAAACUCGAAGCAAACUUGAUUUAAUCUUGUUUGGAUAAUAGGCCAGAAGAAUUAUAUUAGGAUAACAAGCUAGAGAGAGGUUUGACUUUUUUUUCAAUUCCCUGUCCUUUGCUUUCCUGAUAAGGAUGAAUAGGAAGCUGAUCUAACACCUGGAAACCUAUGUUCUCUGAGUGGUGGGGGAGAGAGGGAAGGAGCAGGCUAUAUUGUUUUUUUAGGCUUUUCUGUGACCUGAUGCUUACUUUGUUAAAUGUGGCAGCUGCUUAGUAUUCUUCCUUUUUCCUUUUCUCCCAAUCAUAAAGUUGUAUUCUCCUUUAGAAUUGAAAAGUGCAUAUUUCCUUUGACAUCUUGGUAUUAAUUUAGCUGAGUUCUUAGUGUGAACAUUUUGUGUCACAAUUCCCUUGUUCUAGGAAAUGCAGUAUGUUGCUAUGCUUCCUAUAUUUCUGCCUCAAAUUGUCAUUAAAAUAAGCUUUUACUGGCGCGCCUGGGUGGCUCAGUCGGUUGAGCUACCGACUUCGGCUCAGGUCAUGAUCUCAUGGUUCAUGAGUUCAGGCCCUGCAUUAGGCUCUGUGCUGACAGCUCAGAGCCUGGGGCCUGUUUCGGAUUCUGUGUCUCCCUGUCUCUCUGCCCCUCCCCCGCUCAUGCUCUGUCUCUGUCUCAGAAAUGAAUAAAAUAAACAUUAAAUUUUUUUUAAAAAUAAGCUUUUAUUGUCAGUAGCUCUUACUGGAUUUCAUCUUCCUCAGAAGUUGAAUUAAGUCCUUUACUCAGUCCCUUCGUCUGUUCUACAUUGGUUAUCCUGUGAGGUCAGGAUCAGCAAUAGUUAGAGAACUGACUUCUCAAUUAUGUCUACUGCUUUUGUAGACAUAAUGUUACAGAUAAUAAAAGAACCAAAAAGGUAGUCUCAUUUGUAUCGUUCCUUCGUUAAAUAUUUGCUGGAGGCAUUGAUGUGUUCUGGGAGGUAGUUUUUAUUUUUUAGUUUCUUUUGGCUACCAACCUAAUUUACUAUCAUACAUAAUUAGCGUGGUAGAAGAAACUCUUAAUACAGCCUACACCCUAACAUUAAGCAAUUAUUUUUUUUCUACCCUCUACCCUCUGAGAUUAUUUUGGUUUCCAUGUUUUCUCUUGGGCUUAAAAAACUAUUAGUCUUGUUUCUUCUAUCAAGACUAUGCAUAUGGAGGGAAAUUGAUGCCCAGUAACUUAACAUUCCUUUCGGGGUCCUGGGAAUGUACUUGAUACAGAGUAUAAAAAUUACUCUGAACUCAAUUAACUUUAUGUCUUUGGGAAGCUCUGUAACAUCAAAUGAAACAUCAUUUUCAUUCUUGUAAUAUAGCUGCAGUUACUGACAGCACUUUUGGGAAAAAUAUACCAUAGGAUGGUAGUUUUUAAAUUACUGUAGAGCACUAGACAAUUUUUAAAAAACUACCACUGUAAGAAAUUCAAGUUUUCAGUUACCCUAAUACAUACAUAGGAGAGAAACAGUUUUUGUCUGUUUUGUACAUUUUUUAAACUUUUUUUUUUUUUAAAGAGAAAGAAUGUGUGGGGGAGGGGCAGAGAGAGGGAGAGAGAGAGAAUUUCAAGCAGGAUCCAUGCCCAGUGUGGAGCCCAACAUGAGGCUUGAUCUUACAACCCUGAGAUCGUGACCUGAGCUGAAAUCAAGAUGCUUAACUGACUGAGCCACCUAGGUAUCCCUGUUUUGUACAGUUUUUUUUUAAUCUUUGUGUUUUGCAACAAUAUGUGGCACAUAAGUACUCAAAUACUUCAUGAAAGAAAUAGUGAAUGGAACCUUAUUAGUUAUGAUGCACUCUGUUUUUCUGUACUUUUCAGUUCUCCUUUUUUUAAAAUUGUUUUUAAUGUUUAUUUUUGAAAGAGAGGGACAGAGUACAGGUGAGAGAGGGGCAGAGAGAGAGACAGACACACACACACACACACACACACACACACACACACACACACAGAAUCCGAAGUAGGAUCCAGGCUCUGAGCUGUCAGCACAGAGCCUGACACAGGGCUUGAACCCAGGAACCAUGAGAUCAUGACCUGAGCUGAAGUCGGAUGCUUAUCCAGUCAAGCCACCCAGGCGUCCCUCAGUUCUCUUUUUUUAUGCUAUGCAUAAAUCAGUUUACUAGAUUGAUAACAAAUUGGUUGUAACAGGCAUUUUGAAGGGUGGUGUAACUUCUUCAGCAGUUACGAAAAGGCUCUGCUUAGUUCUACACUUUAACUCUUGAAGCUCUUCAGUUAUCUGCUUUGCAUGUUGGUUUCCUUGAAAAAGAGGCUUUUAUGGCUGUGAAAAUUUUAGAGAUGUGUACUGGCAUAAAUCUUCCCAAUUGUAAUAAUCUGUGUAGAAAAUUUCAACAACUUGUAUCUAAGAUAGUGGUCAGCAAACAUUUUUUGUAAAGAGUCAAAUGGUAAAAUUUUAUGCACUGUGGGCCUAACUACUCUGUCUCAGUCAAAACAACUCAACAGAUUCAACAGUGGCAUUGUAGCACAAAAGCAGCUAAUAGACUCUGUAAGUGAAUUAGCCUGUGUUCCAAUAAAACUUACGGACAAUGGAAUUUGAAUUUCAUAUAAUUUUCAUGUGUCAUGAAAUAUUCUUAUAAGUUUUUUCAACAUUUAAAAAUGUAAAACUAUUCUUGUGGGCUGUAUUAAAAUAGAUGAUAGCCCAGAUUUAGUUCAUGGGCCAGAGUUUUCAGAUUACUGGUCUAGGGGAGACUGACUAUAUCAUAUUAAAAGUUCUGAAAUGAAGGUGUGGGUUAGAGGUCUAUAGAAAGUUGAUCAUUGCUUUUUGAAAAAAUGUCGGGUUUAUUGGGAUAUAGUUUACUAUACUUAAUGUACCAUUUUAACUAUAUAGUUUGAUGAGUUUUGACAAAUGUAUAUAGUCAUGUAACCACUGCCACAAUCAAGAUACUGAACGUUUCCAUCAUCUCAAAAAGUUCCCUAGUUCCUCUGUAUUUAGUCCCCUUCGCUGACCCUCAGUUCCUGGCAGACACUGGUCUGGUCUCUAGUCUUAUUUUCCCAGAAAGCUAUAUACUUUCCCGGAAAGUUAUAUAAAUGAAAUGAUAAAGUAUGUGGUUUUAUGUAUUUGGCUUCUAUGAUUUAGUUUGAUACAUCUGAGAUUCACCCAGGUUGUAUGUAUCAGCAAUUAGUUUUUGCUUAUUAUUUAGUAGUAGUCUAUUGUGUGGAUAUGCCACAACUUCUGCAUUUACCAGUUGAUGGGGUAGUAGGGUUGUUUUUGGUUUUCAGCAAUUGCAGUAAAGGUUGCCAUAAAUAUUUGGGUUCAGGUUUUUGUGUGGACGUGGGUUUUCAUUUUUCUUGAGUAAGGACCUAGAAGCAGGGUUGAUGGGUUGUAUGGUAAGUAUACAUUUAACUUUAUAAGAAACUACCAAUUCAAUUAAAAAAUGGGCAGAGGACAUGAACAGACAUAUCUCCAAAGAAGACAUCCAGAUGGCCAACAGACACAUGAAAAGAUGCUCAAUGUCACUCAUCAUCAGGGAAAUGCAAAUCGAAGCCAAUCA
Molecule: long non-coding RNA, 4382 nt
Organism: Neofelis nebulosa (Clouded leopard)
Lineage: Eukaryota; Metazoa; Chordata; Mammalia; Carnivora; Felidae
Exons: 2
Source: RefSeq, a predicted model, not a curated record